This 611-nucleotide ribosomal RNA is filed under the name uncultured bacterium. RNAcentral describes it as "bacterial SSU rRNA". The stretch from base 1 to 522 matches the Rfam family "Bacterial small subunit ribosomal RNA", at positions 338 to 873 of the family's 1533-position model. The record is from RNAcentral.
CCUACGGGAGGCAGCAGUGAGGAAUUUUCCGCAAUGGGCGAAAGCCUGACGGAGCAAUGCCGCGUGGAGGAGGAAGGCCUGUGGGUCGUAAACUCCUUUUCUCAGAGAAGAAGUUCUGACGGUAUCUGAGGAAUAAGCAUCGGCUAACUCUGUGCCAGCAGCCGCGGUAAUACAGGGGAUGCAAGCGUUAUCCGGAAUUAUUGGGCGUAAAGCGUCCUGAGGUGGCUUACCCAGUCGACUGUGAAAGCUCAAGGCUUAACCUUGAAACGGCAGUCGAAACUUGUAAGCUUGAGUACGGUAGGGGCAGAGGGAAUUCCCGGAGGAGAGGUGAAAUUCGUAGAUAUCGGGAGGAAGGCCAAAGGCGAAAGCACUCUGCUGGGCCGAUUACUGACACUGACAGACGAAAGCUAGGGGAGCGAAAGGGAUUAGAUACCCCUGUAGUCCUAGCCGUAAACGAUGGAUACUAAGUGUUGCGCGACUCAAAACGUGCAGUACNNNNACGACGUACGUAGUACGUCCGUCGGUGGUAGUGCGCCGACGAGGUAACGUAAACGUAAGUAAGUUAGUACGGCGUGAGACGUGCCGAACGGACGACCGACGAGGGAGGUAGG